GGGGAAGUAGCUCAAUUGGUAGAGCAAGCAAAUUAGUGUAUUACACUUAAUCUAUCACGACCAUCUCAGAAGGUUCGAGGUUCGAUUCCUCGCUCUCUA
This 99-nucleotide transfer RNA is filed under the name Daucus carota subsp. sativus. RNAcentral describes it as "tRNA trnX-agt". It matches the Rfam family "tRNA". Rfam says of the family: Transfer RNA (tRNA) molecules are approximately 80 nucleotides in length. Their secondary structure includes four short double-helical elements and three loops (D, anti-codon, and T loops). Further hydrogen bonds mediate the characteristic L-shaped molecular structure. tRNAs have two regions of fundamental functional importance: the anti-codon, which is responsible for specific mRNA codon recognition, and the 3' end, to which the tRNAs corresponding amino acid is attached (by aminoacyl-tRNA synthetases). tRNAs cope with the degeneracy of the genetic code in two manners: having more than one tRNA (with a specific anti-codon) for a particular amino acid; and 'wobble' base-pairing, i.e. permitting non-standard base-pairing at the 3rd anti-codon position. Lineage: Eukaryota; Viridiplantae; Streptophyta; Magnoliopsida; Apiales; Apiaceae. The record is from Rfam by way of RNAcentral.